AGCAUUUAUUCACAAUUCCCUGCAAAAAGCACAACACAGCAGCACCCGAGCUCAGCUUCAGGAAUUCCAGACGCUGCAGUGGUCUGCAAUCAGCUUCCACAACACAGCAAGGCCACGUCACAGCCCUCAGGACUCCCCUGCAUGCUGAGGAAGUUGGCACGUUUGGCUACACCAGGAAGAAAUAAACCCCCAAACAUAGGGACAGAAUGAA
This is a long non-coding RNA of Passer montanus (Eurasian tree sparrow), 211 nucleotides long. RefSeq lists it as uncharacterized. The transcript is spliced from 2 exons. NCBI's taxonomy places the organism in Eukaryota, Metazoa, Chordata, Aves, Passeriformes, Passeridae. The record is from RefSeq and is a predicted model, not a curated record.